CACGUAGGGGCCAAGCGUUGUCCGGAUUUAUUGGGCGUAAAGAGCUCGUAGGCGGUUGGGUAAGUCGGGUGUGAAAACUCCAGGCUCAACUUGGAGACGCCACCCGAUACUGCUCUGACUUGAGUUCGGUAGGGGAGUGGGGAAUUCCUGGUGUAGCGGUGAAAUGCGUAGAUAUCGGGAGGAACACCAGUGGCGAAGGCGGCUUUCUGGUCUGCUCUUGACGCUGAGGCGCGAAAGCUAGGGUAGCAAACGGG
This 254-nucleotide ribosomal RNA is filed under the name uncultured bacterium. RNAcentral's name for it is "partial 16S ribosomal RNA". It matches the Rfam family "Bacterial small subunit ribosomal RNA", at positions 524 to 776 of the family's 1533-position model. The record is from RNAcentral.